GACGAACGCUGGCGGCGUGCUUAACACAUGCAAGUCGAACGGAAAGGCCCUGCUUUUGUGGGGUGCUCGAGUGGCGAACGGGUGAGUAACACGUGAGUAACCUGCCCUUGACUUUGGGAUAACUUCAGGAAACUGGGGCUAAUACCGGAUAGGAGCUCCUGCUGCAUGGUGGGGGUUGGAAAGUUUCGGCGGUUGGGGAUGGACUCGCGGCUUAUCAGCUUGUUGGUGGGGUAGUGGCUUACCAAGGGUUUGACGGGUAGCCGGCCUGGGAGGGUGGCCGGGCCACAGGGGACUGGGGGACGGACCAGGAUCCUACGGGAGGCAACAGGGGGGAAUAUUGCAGAAUGGGGCGGAGCCUGAAGCGACAACCCCGGGGUCGGGAAGACCGGCUUUGGGGUGUGAACCGCUUUCGCCUUGUACAGAGCCGUAAUGACGGUAAUUGGUAAAAAAGCAACGGCUAACUACGUG
This 468-nucleotide ribosomal RNA is filed under the name uncultured bacterium. RNAcentral's name for it is "partial 16S ribosomal RNA". It matches the Rfam family "Bacterial small subunit ribosomal RNA", at positions 28 to 507 of the family's 1533-position model. The record is from RNAcentral.